AUUGAACGCUGGCGGCAGGCCUAACACAUGCAAGUCGAGCGGAUGAAGGGAGCUUGCUCCUGGAUUCAGCGGCGGACGGGUGAGUAAUGCCUAGGAAUCUGCCUGGUAGUGUGGGAUAACGUCCGGAAACGGGCGCUAAUACCGCAUACGUCCUGAGUGAGAAAGUGGGUGAUCUUCGUACCUCACGCUAUCAUAUGAGCCUAGGUCGGAUUAGCUAGUUGGUGGGGUAAAGGCCUACCAAGGCGACGAUCCGUAACUGGUCUGAGAGGAUGAUCAGUCACACUGGAACUGAGACACGGUACAGACUCCUACGGGAGGCAGCAGUGGGGAAUAUUGGACAAUGGGCGAAAGCCUGAUACAGCAAUGCCGCGUGUGUGAAGAAGGUCUUCGGAUUGUAAAGCACUUUAAGUUGGGAGGAAGGGAAGUAAGUUAAUACAUUGCUGUUUUGACGUUACCAACAGAAUAAGCACCGGCUAACUUCGUG
Molecule: ribosomal RNA, 484 nt
Filed under: uncultured bacterium
Lineage: Bacteria
Description: partial 16S ribosomal RNA
Rfam family: Bacterial small subunit ribosomal RNA
Source: RNAcentral